RNAcentral lists this ribosomal RNA (519 nucleotides) under uncultured eukaryote. RNAcentral describes it as "SSU rRNA". It matches the Rfam family "Eukaryotic small subunit ribosomal RNA", at positions 1161 to 1699 of the family's 1831-position model. The record is from RNAcentral.
AGGGCACCACCAGGAGUGGAGCCUGCGGCUUAAUUUGACUCAACACGGGAAAACUCACCCGGCCCGGACACUGGAAGGAUUGACAGAUUGAGAGCUCUUUCUUGAUUCAGUGGGUGGUGGUGCAUGGCCGUUCUUAGUUGGUGGAGUGAUUUGUCUGGUUAAUUCCGAUAACGAACGAGACUCUAGCCUACUAAAUAGAUCGUCGGCUUACAAACGCCGACGAGACUUCUUAGAGGGACAGGCGGUGAUUCAACCGCACGAAACAGAGCAAUAACAGGUCUGUGAUGCCCUUAGAUGUCCGGGGCCGCACGCGCGCUACACUGAAGUGAUCAGCGUGCUUUUUCAACCUACUCUGUCAAGAGUGGGGAACCCAAUGAACCUUCUUCGUGAUUGGGAUAGGGGAUUGUAAUUAUUCUCCUUGAACGAGGAAUUCCCAGUAAGCGCGAGUCAUAAGCUCGCGUUGAUUACGUCCCUGCCCUUUGUACACACCGCCCGUCGCUACUACCGAUUGAAUGUUUU